Molecule: unclassified non-coding RNA, 316 nt
Filed under: uncultured Funneliformis
Lineage: Eukaryota; Fungi; Glomeromycota; Glomeromycetes; Glomerales; Glomeraceae
Description: sequence contains ITS2
Rfam family: 5.8S ribosomal RNA (bases 1-52)
Source: RNAcentral
AACGCAAAUUGCACUCCCUGGUAUUCCGGGGAGUAUGCCUGUUUGAGGGUCGUUAGAAUAAAAAUCGAGGCAUCGCUCUUUUUUUUAAGGGUGAUCGCGUCGGAAUUGAGCCGUCUUUCAAAUGUUAAUUCAUGUCAAAGUGGCUUAAAAUUCAUCCAUCCGGUACGAUUAAAGCGUAUUUAAGAUCAAUUUUGAUUAAGAACGCGCGAUGACGGACCAUCUCAUGUAGUACGUUUGACCUGGCGUCAUCAGGUUCAUUCGUAUACGAUACUCAACUUUUGACCUCAAAUCAGGUAAGAAUACCCGCUGAACUUAA